This 440-nucleotide ribosomal RNA is filed under the name uncultured bacterium. Its description in RNAcentral is "partial 16S ribosomal RNA". It matches the Rfam family "Bacterial small subunit ribosomal RNA", at positions 338 to 795 of the family's 1533-position model. The record is from RNAcentral.
CCUACGGGAGGCAGCAGUGGGGGAUAUUGCACAAUGGGGGGAACCCUGAUGCAGCGACGCCGCGUGGGUGAAGAAGCGCCUCGGCGCGUAAAGCCCUGUCAGCAGGGAAGAAAAUGACGGUACCUGAAGAAGAAGCCCCGGCUAACUACGUGCCAGCAGCCGCGGGAAUACGUAGGGGGCAAGCGUUAUCCGGAUUUACUGGGUGUAAAGGGGGCGCAGACGGCGAUGCAAGCCAGGAGUGAAAGCCCGGGGCCCAACCCCGGGACUGCUCGUGGAACUGCGUGGCUGGAGUGCAGGAGGGGCAGGCGGAAUUCCUGGUGUAGCGGUGAAAUGCGUAGAUAUCAGGAGGAACACCGGUGGCGAAGGCGGCCUGCUGGACUGCAACUGACGUUGAGGCCCGAAAGCGUGGGGAGCAAACAGGAUUAGAUACCCCAGUAGUC